RNAcentral lists this ribosomal RNA (253 nucleotides) under uncultured bacterium. RNAcentral's name for it is "partial 16S ribosomal RNA". It matches the Rfam family "Bacterial small subunit ribosomal RNA", at positions 524 to 776 of the family's 1533-position model. The record is from RNAcentral.
UACAGAGGGGGCAAGCGUUGUUCGGAAUUACUGGGCGUAAAGGGCGCGUAGGCGGCCUUCUAAGUCGAACGUGAAAUCCCUGGGCUCAACCCAGGAACUGCGUCCGAUACUGGAAGGCUUGAAUCCGGGAGAGGGAUGCGGAAUUCCAGGUGUAGCGGUGAAAUGCGUAGAUAUCUGGAGGAACACCGAUGGCGAAGGCGGCAUCCUGGACCGGUAUUGACGCUGAGGCGCGAAAGCCAGGGGAGCAAACGGG